CCUUGGUCACACCCUGGGAGCAGAAGUGGUAGUCGAACGGGUUGGUCGUCACCAGCAGCAUGUCUGCAACACAGGAACGUAACUCGAUCACACUGCAGUUUUAUUUGUGCUGCUUGUUUAUUUGGUUCAUUCUGCUGUCAAUAAGUUUAUUUUACUAGUAAGGAGUCUUUUUAAUGCUAGGAAUUUGAGUAGGUUCUUCUUUACUGCAGCGUUGUACAACAGCGCCCCUUCGUUGUGUUGACUGAUGCUGUGGCCAAACGUGGUACUACACUCGGUGGUUUAAAGUGUUUAAACGGUUCGGUGCGUUCAACGCAGCGGAGAAACCCGAGGCUGCGGGUUUUUUGGGAGUGGAGCUACUGAAGAGCAGCGACGAUGGCAAAGUACUGUAUCACCCUCUUGGUGUUGACUGUUUUCCCUGCACCUGACUCGCCGCUGACGGGAUUAAAGAACAGUCACACAAGGCUGCAGUGAAUGAAACGCGUGAAGGUGAACUAGCAGCAGAUUGUUGGACCUGAGGCCUAAGAAGAGUUUGUGCAACGGCUUCAAACUGCUGACAGGCAGAGCAGCAGUGUCAUCUGCAUAUGAGCGUAUCAGUAGAACUAGACCUGUAGGACACAUUCCUGCUUCCUAGAAGAUGAACCCUCGUCCUCCUCCCCCUCCAGCGUCUACAGGGGGACCAAUAACCUAGGGCCAACAUCCAGGCAGUGGUGUUGGGUUACAGAUGACUGACAGGAUGGAAGCGGUCGUCUGGGUGAGUUCAGACUCAGUUCAAGCUGAAGAUGAAGCGUAACGCCUGCUUUAACAUUGUGGACGUUGAACGCUGAGGUGCGUUUGGCUCCGUGGCGGUUUCCAGGUCCUCCUCCUGCCGUUUCCCUUGGUUCUGUUGUGUUGGCCCUGUGUUUUAUAAAUACAGCUUUACUGCUGAUGCCACUACACAUUUCUGUGUAAGCCCUCCAUCCAUCCCCACCAGCUGUCUCCCUCCCGCCCCCCUUCGUAGCUGGA
Long non-coding RNA from Betta splendens (Siamese fighting fish), 1002 nucleotides. RefSeq lists it as uncharacterized. Lineage: Eukaryota; Metazoa; Chordata; Actinopteri; Anabantiformes; Osphronemidae. The transcript is spliced from 3 exons. The record is from RefSeq and is a predicted model, not a curated record.